GACGAACGCUGGCGGCGUGCCUAAUACAUGCAAGUAGAACGCUGAAGAGAGGAGCUUGCUCUUCUUGGAUGAGUUGCGAACGGGUGAGUAACGCGUAGGUAACCUGCCUUGUAGCGGGGGAUAACUAUUGGAAACGAUAGCUAAUACCGCAUAACAAUGGAUGACACAUGUCAUUUAUUUGAAAGGGGCAAUUGCUCCACUACAAGAUGGACCUGCGUUGUAUUAGCUAGUAGGUGAGGUAAUGGCUCACCUAGGCGACGAUACAUAGCCGACCUGAGAGGGUGAUCGGCCACACUGGGACUGAGACACGGCCCAGACUCCUACGGGAGGCAGCAGUAGGGAAUCUUCGGCAAUGGGGGCAACCCUGACCGAGCAACGCCGCGUGAGUGAAGAAGGUUUUCGGAUCGUAAAGCUCUGUUGUAAGCCAAGAACGAGUGUGAGAGUGGAAAGUUCACACUGUGACGGUAGCUUACCAGAAAGGGACGGCUAACUACGUG
RNAcentral lists this ribosomal RNA (497 nucleotides) under uncultured bacterium. RNAcentral describes it as "partial 16S ribosomal RNA". It matches the Rfam family "Bacterial small subunit ribosomal RNA", at positions 28 to 507 of the family's 1533-position model. The record is from RNAcentral.